CCCUUAGAUGUUCUGGGCUGCACGCGCGCUACACUGAUACUUUCAGCGAGUCCACCACCUUGCCUGGGAGGGUGGGGUAACCUCUGGAAAGUGCAUCGUGAUGGGGAUCGAUUAUUGUAAUUAUUAAUCUUCAACGAGGAAUUCCUAGUAAGCGCGAGUCAUCAGCUCGCGUUGAUUACGUCCCUGCCCUUUGUACACACCGCCCGUCGCUCCUACCGAUUGAAUGGUCCGGUGAAAUCUUCGGAUUGCUGACCAAGAUCCAGCAAUGGAGCUUGGUUGCGAGAAGUUGAUUAAACCUUAUUAUUUAGAGGAAGGAGAAGUCGUAACA
RNAcentral lists this ribosomal RNA (328 nucleotides) under uncultured eukaryote. RNAcentral describes it as "partial 18S ribosomal RNA". It matches the Rfam family "Eukaryotic small subunit ribosomal RNA", at positions 1470 to 1796 of the family's 1831-position model. The record is from RNAcentral.